GAUGAACGCUGGCGGCGUGCCUAAAACAUGCAAGUCGAGCGAAGGGACGAGAACUUGCUUUCCUGGUGGUUGGGGGGGGAGGGGGGGGAAACACGGGGAAACCCAACUUUAAGGACGGGGAAACCUUGGGAAAACGGGGGCAAAUACGGGAAAAUAUUUGAAACGGAUGGGUUAAAAAGUGAAAGAGGGCUUUGCGGUCACUUUUGGAGGAAUCCGCGCUGCAUUGGCUAGUUGGUAAGGUAACGGCUUACCAAGGAAACGAUGCAUAGCCGACCUGAGAGGGUGAUCGGCCACACUGGAACUGAGACACGGUCCAGACUCCUACGGGAGGCAGCAGUAGGGAAUCUUCCGCAAUGGGCGAAAGCCUGACGGAGCAACGCCGCGUGAGUGAUGAAGGUCUUCGGAUCGUAAAACUCUGUUAUUAGGGAAGAACAUAUGUGUAAGUAACUGUGCACAUCUUGACGGUACCUAAUCAGAAAGCCACGGCUAACUACGUG
This 497-nucleotide ribosomal RNA is filed under the name uncultured bacterium. RNAcentral describes it as "partial 16S ribosomal RNA". It matches the Rfam family "Bacterial small subunit ribosomal RNA", at positions 28 to 507 of the family's 1533-position model. The record is from RNAcentral.